CAGCGUCACAUUGUUUUCAAGAAUACAAAUAUGACGACAUAGUUGUUAAAGUAACCAAAAGCGAUUUAAAGCAUUCUAAAACGUAUGGUAUUAAAAAUGGAUAAGUUUUGAUGAAUAUGUCCAUAAUGAUUUACCCGAUAAUCCUCUAAACGAUAUCGGAAUCAUUAAGUUGAGGGGAAGUGUUAAUAGGACCGUAGCCGUCUUGUCAUUGAUUCCGGAGUCUCAAUUAUAUGGCAAGAAAGUUUUCGUGCCCGGUUGGGGAUUUUUAGAAAAUAAUAUGUCAAAAAGGUAUUUGUUAACAGCAGAGAUGAGGAUAUUGGAAUCUAAAGACUGUCCACAGAACUGGAUAGAGGCUAUGGAUAUUCAUGUAGGUUGUAAAACACAUUUAAUUAUGUGCACCGCUGCAGAACCUCCAAUCGAAUUGACCUGUGGUGAUAGUGGCAGCCCAGUGAUUAUAAAUUGAAAUCAAAUAGUCGCGGUUCAUAAGGGUACUUGUAUUACCCUAAAUCGUGGAAUAAAAAUAAGAAGUAUAAAUA
Long non-coding RNA from Phymastichus coffea, 536 nucleotides. RefSeq lists it as uncharacterized. The record is from RefSeq and is a predicted model, not a curated record. The transcript has 3 exons. Lineage: Eukaryota; Metazoa; Arthropoda; Insecta; Hymenoptera; Eulophidae.